This 331-nucleotide unclassified non-coding RNA is filed under the name soil metagenome. RNAcentral describes it as "partial contains 5.8S ribosomal RNA, internal transcribed spacer 2, and large subunit ribosomal RNA". The stretch from base 1 to 120 matches the Rfam family "5.8S ribosomal RNA", at positions 35 to 154 of the family's 154-position model. The record is from RNAcentral.
GAUGAAGAACGCAGCGAAAUGCGAUAAGUAAUGUGAAUUGCAGAAUUCAGUGAAUCAUCGAAUCUUUGAACGCACAUUGCGCCCCCUGGUAUUCCGGGGGGCAUGCCUGUUCGAGCGUCAUUUCACCACUCAAGCCUCGCUUGGUAUUGGGCAACGCGGUCCGCCGCGUGCCUCAAAUCGACUGGCUGGGUCUUCUGUCCCCUAAGCGUUGUGGAAACUAUUCGCUAAAGGGUGUUCGGGAGGCUACGCCGUAAAACAACCCCAUUUCUAAGGUUGACCUCGGAUCAGGUAGGGAUACCCGCUGAACUUAAGCAUAUCAAUAAGCGGAGGA